GAUGAACGCUGGCGGCGUGCCUAAUACAUGCAAGUCGAGCGAACAGAUAAGGAGCUUGCUCCUUUGACGUUAGCGGCGGACGGGUGAGUAACACGUGGGUAACCUACCUAUAAGACUGGGAUAACUUCGGGAAACCGGAGCUAAUACCGGAUAACAUUUGGAACCGCAUGGUUCUAAAGUGAAAGAUGGUUUUGCUAUCACUUAUAGAUGGACCCGCGCCGUAUUAGCUAGUUGUUAAGGUAACGGCUUACCAAGGCAACGAUACGUAGCCGACCUGAGAGGGUGGUCGGCCACACUGGAACUGAGACACGGUCCAGACUCCUACGGGAGGCAGCAGUAGGGAAUCUUCCGCAAUGGGCGGAAGCCUGACGGAGCAACGCCGCGUGAGUGAUGAAGGGGUUCGGCUCGUAAAACUCUGUUAUUAGGGAAGAACAAAUGUGUAAGUAACUGUGCACGUCUUGACGGUACCUAAUCAGAAAGCCACGGCUAACUACGUG
This 497-nucleotide ribosomal RNA is filed under the name uncultured bacterium. RNAcentral describes it as "partial 16S ribosomal RNA". It matches the Rfam family "Bacterial small subunit ribosomal RNA", at positions 28 to 507 of the family's 1533-position model. The record is from RNAcentral.